This is a long non-coding RNA of Brassica oleracea var. oleracea, 550 nucleotides long. RefSeq lists it as uncharacterized. The record is from RefSeq and is a predicted model, not a curated record. The transcript is spliced from 4 exons. Lineage: Eukaryota; Viridiplantae; Streptophyta; Magnoliopsida; Brassicales; Brassicaceae.
AUUCUUAUUAAUGGAAAUCAAUCAGAAUCCGAUUUCAAGUUAUGGAUCUGAAGAUUAAUCAAGCGCUGGCGAUUGAAUUUUUUUUUCAUACCAACAUAAAUUCACAAUUGAAGGCUUGGUGAAGAUUACGACCGCAGUUGUGGCUGAUGACAAGUCGAAAACCAGAAGAAGCGGUCUAAGUCUCAUUUUACGAAGCUUCUUUCCGGUAUCCACAUGUGUGUCACUGGUUUCAUAUGUUGUUUGCGUGUUUCAAACGGGUGUGGCGUGUUGUCCUGUAAAUUAAGCUUCUAUGGAGCGAAAUUUGUGAACUAAUGAAGUAGAAACUCUCCCCAAAGCAAAACAGGUGGUUGCAUUUAUUCACAGAGAAAACUCAGCAACAAGCUUCAUCAGAUUUGGGCCAUUUGGCAGACCUGGAAAAUGCCUCUCGGCUUACGACGCCCGAUAAAUAAUCUUAAUGUAGGAAACUUCAACAAAAGAUCGAAGGAUCUGUGCAAAAGAAAAAGGAUUGAAGUGUAGUCUAAAAAAAGGAUUGAAGGAUAUGUAAAGAUUA